RNAcentral lists this ribosomal RNA (395 nucleotides) under uncultured bacterium. Its description in RNAcentral is "partial 16S ribosomal RNA". It matches the Rfam family "Bacterial small subunit ribosomal RNA", at positions 338 to 730 of the family's 1533-position model. The record is from RNAcentral.
CCUACGGGUGGCAGCAGUGAGGAAUAUUGGUCAAUGGACGCAAGCCUGAACCAGCCAAGCCGCGUGCAGGAAGACGGCUCUACGAGUUGUAAACUGCUUUUGUACGAGGGUAAACGCAGAUACGCGUAUCUGUUUGAAAGUAUCGCACGAAUAAGGAUCGGCUAACUCCGUGCCAGCAGCCGCGGUAAUACGGAGGAUUCAAGCGUUAUCCGGAUUUAUUGGGUUUAAAGGGUGGGUAGGCGGUCGUACAAGUUCGAGGGUAAAUCCCCGGGCUCAAAUUCGGAAUUGCCUCUGAUACUGGUCGGCUAGAGAGUAGGAGCGGUAGGCGGAAUGUGUGGUGUAGCGGUGAAAUGCUUAGAUAUCAGACAGAACACCGAUUGCGAAGGCAGCUUACC